RNAcentral lists this ribosomal RNA (560 nucleotides) under Mortierella alpina. Its description in RNAcentral is "eukaryotic LSU rRNA". It matches the Rfam family "Eukaryotic large subunit ribosomal RNA", at positions 92 to 598 of the family's 3401-position model. The record is from RNAcentral. Lineage: Eukaryota; Fungi; Mortierellomycota; Mortierellomycetes; Mortierellales; Mortierellaceae.
AGUGAAGCGGGAUGAGCUCAAAUUUAAAAUCUGGCUGGUUUACUAGUCCGAAUUGUAGUUUAAAGAAGCGUUUUCGGUGGCAGCCUGGGUAUAAAUCCUUUGGAACAGGGUAUCAUAGAGGGUGAGAAUCCCGUCUUUGACUCAGUGCAUGCUACUAUGUGAUACGUUUUCAAAGAGUCGAGUUGUUUGGGAAUGCAGCUCAAAAUGGGUGGUAAAUUUCAUCUAAAGCUAAAUAUUGGCGAGAGACCGAUAGCGAACAAGUACCGUGAGGGAAAGAUGAAAAGAACUUUGAAAAGAGAGUUAAACAGUGCGUGAAAUUGUUGAAAGGGAAACGCUUGACACCAGUCAUGCGAGCGGAAAAUCAGUCUUUUGCAGUGGGGAGUGUGUGUGGGUUCGGACCGCAAGGCCGGCCUGCGCUUCAUCUCUGCUGUAAGUGAUGCACUUUUUCGUUUGCAGGCCAACAUCAGUUUCUUCUGCUGGACAAAACUCUUGAGAAGGUAGCAGCUUAGGCUGUGUUAUAGCUCUUGAGCGAUACAGUGGAGGAGACUGAGGUUUUCGCA